AGAGACAGCAGCAGCCGCGGGAAUACAGAGGGUGCGAGCGUUAAUCGGAUUUACUGGGCGUAAAGCGUGCGUAGGCGGCUUUUUAAGUCGGAUGUGAAAUCCCUGAGCUUAACUUAGGAAUUGCAUUCGAUACUGGGAAGCUAGAGUAUGGGAGAGGAUGGUAGAAUUCCAGGUGUAGCGGUGAAAUGCGUAGAGAUCUGGAGGAAUACCGAUGGCGAAGGCAGCCAUCUGGCCUAAUACUGACGCUGAGGUACGAAAGCAUGGGGAGCAAACAGGAUUAGAUACCCCCGUAGUCCCUGUCUCUUAUAA
RNAcentral lists this ribosomal RNA (309 nucleotides) under uncultured bacterium. RNAcentral describes it as "partial 16S ribosomal RNA". It matches the Rfam family "Bacterial small subunit ribosomal RNA", at positions 504 to 809 of the family's 1533-position model. The record is from RNAcentral.